Molecule: ribosomal RNA, 254 nt
Filed under: uncultured bacterium
Lineage: Bacteria
Description: partial 16S ribosomal RNA
Rfam family: Bacterial small subunit ribosomal RNA
Source: RNAcentral
UACGGGGGGAGCAAGCGUUGUUCGGAUUUACUGGGCGUAAAGGGCGCGUAGGCGGCCAGCACAAGUCGGUUGUGAAAUCUCCGGGCUUAACCCGGAACGGUCAGCCGAUACUGCGGGGCUAGAGUGCAGAAGGGGCAACUGGAAUUCUCGGUGUAGCGGUGAAAUGCGUAGAUAUCGAGAGGAACACCUGCGGCGAAGGCGGGUUGCUGGGCUGACACUGACGCUGAUGCGCGAAAGCUAGGGGAGCGAACGGG